This 221-nucleotide ribosomal RNA is filed under the name uncultured bacterium. Its description in RNAcentral is "partial 16S ribosomal RNA". It matches the Rfam family "Bacterial small subunit ribosomal RNA", at positions 27 to 250 of the family's 1533-position model. The record is from RNAcentral.
GGACGAACGCUGGCGGCGUGCUUAACACAUGCAAGUCGAGCGGUAAGGCCCUUUCGGGGGUACACGAGCGGCGAACGGGCGAGUAACACGUGGGUGACCUGCCCUCAGCUCUGGGAUAAGCCCGGGAACUGGGUCUAAUACCGGAUAUGACUCCAUGACGCAUGUUGUGGGGUGGAAAGCCUUGUGCGGCUGAGGAUGGGCCCGCGGCCUAUCAGCUUGUU